Long non-coding RNA from Salvia miltiorrhiza (redroot sage), 1819 nucleotides. RefSeq lists it as uncharacterized. Lineage: Eukaryota; Viridiplantae; Streptophyta; Magnoliopsida; Lamiales; Lamiaceae. The record is from RefSeq and is a predicted model, not a curated record. The transcript has 4 exons.
UAUUAAAUUUUUAUUUACGUGACUGCUCUCUAUUUUUCCCUCUUCACACUUCUUUCACUCUCUUCUCACUCAGCGUCGUCCUCCAUCUCUCUUUCUCCGGCGUCUUCGCCGGUUCUCACAGCCACCGGCAUGGCGAACGCCGCUGGUGCUAUCCCUCAUUGUCUCUUCCUUAUUUCUCUGUGCUAAUUUUAAUCCUAAUUUCUUUAUAGAUCUGUAAACCCUAAUUUCCUCGACGAUUCUCAAUCUCCCUCUCGAUUCUCGUCCGUCCGGCGGAUAUCGCCGCCGUUGCCGUACUACCGCGCCUUCACACCGUUUGGACCGCUCUUCGCGCACUACGAUAUGAUCUGCAAAAAAUGGUUGUGUCUUCAUCAGGCAAACACAAAGGGACUGAAUAACUGUGUGCCUUAUAAUAUAGGUUUCUGUGACAACAAUAUUAGAGAAGUUGGGGACUACAUUUCUGAGGAGUGAAAAUUGCUUACACAGAACGUCCUAUAUGGAAUUUUUUCCUACAACCUGAUUUUCUAGUUCAGCGGGUUUAUUUGCACUGUAAAUCAUGCCUUAAUACGGAUAAUCUUGCAGGUAAGAAGGCUGAUGUGAGAACACGUGUUGAUAGAGAAGCGGAUAACCAACAACUUCUUCAGUUAGAAGAAAAGGAUGUUGUGACAUCAGUAGCCACAGUGCUGUCUGAUAUAUGUGGUCCUGGAGACUGGAUGCCGAUGGAGAAACUACACUCUGAGGUCAAUUGUUUUCUUACACUCCGAUGCAAACCUCCUUUGUUGUUAUAUUUCACUAUCAGCUAUGAUGAUUUCAUGUUGGGAUUUCUAGUGUUUCUUGUGAUUAUUCUGUUGCUUUCUCAAUGGCAUAGUUCACUACUAUGGAUAUUAACGAUUUCAGCAUGUGCGUUUUUUUCCAUAUACUAAGACGAACUUAGAAUGUGCACACACACAUGCCCCACAACCUAUUAAAGGUACAAAUUAUUGAAACUUGAGAUGGCAUUGUCUGAAUUGGUAGAUUCCAGCUACUAGGUGGACGUGAAUUCAUACGAAUGGGAUCAAGGUAACAAGUUAAUUCCAUCAGAAGGCCUCAGUUCAAGGCAUCUUGGUGCAACUUUGAUGAUGGACUUAGAUUGAUUGGGACUCAUAUUGUCAAUUGGUUAUAUUCUUUUUCGUUUCUUGCAAUCGUAUUCAUAAGCUAUCACGAGACUCAAAUCAUUUUUUGUUAUAUUCUUGGCCCAUAGGCCAGCUUGUUAGAGGAAGGGAGCUUUAUAUGGUCUAGAAAAGGCAGGGAGAACCUUCUGUAUGCCACUGAUGCUUGUUAGAAGAAGGGAGCUUUAUAUGGUCUAGAAAAGGCAGGGAGAACCUUCUGUAUGCCACUGAUGCUGCUGAGAAGUUCAGUGAAAGAUAAUUGGAAAUUAUCAGUUUCUAUUUCAUAUUAUGUUGAUAAAAGAUCUCAGUGUAGUUUUAGACUAUUCUCCAUCAGAAGGGCGAGUUACUUGGUAAUGAGAACAUUAAUAGAGUUAUAAUGUGGAAGAAAGCUAGAGUGAAAAAAGAUAAGACCGUUGAGAAUGAAGACUUAAAGAAAGCAAGGUGGAAAUGAAGACUUAAAGAAAGCAAGGUGGAAAUGAAGAUUUUAAGAAAGCAAGGUGGAAAUGAAGACUUAAAGAAAGCAAGGUGGGAGCAUUGAGAAUGAAGACUUGUAGCUUUUUGUAUGGAUGUUGGAGAUGUUGUAAAAUAAUAGAUCUUUUGUGGAUGUUGGAUGAUUGAUUAUUAUAGAUGAUUAAAUGACAUCUUCAAUAUGUAUAAAUUUAUUAUUUUUACAA